RNAcentral lists this small RNA (30 nucleotides) under Bombyx mori (domestic silkworm). Its description in RNAcentral is "piRNA piR-bmo-1921044". The record is from RNAcentral. Lineage: Eukaryota; Metazoa; Arthropoda; Insecta; Lepidoptera; Bombycidae.
UUGCUCUGGUAUUCUGGGGUAGCACCCUGA